This is a small nucleolar RNA of Tachyglossus aculeatus (Australian echidna), 138 nucleotides long. Lineage: Eukaryota; Metazoa; Chordata; Mammalia; Monotremata; Tachyglossidae. The record is from RefSeq and is a predicted model, not a curated record.
CCCCUCUCAGGAUCGCACCUGGAGAGUUUCCAGUACUCUACCAGUACCAGCUACCAGCGGGAGAGUCAAGCAGAGGCAUACCCAUUCCGUUCCUAGCAUGGUCAGUGGCUAGCAAGUGGAAGGCAAUCUGCUACAAGU